This 497-nucleotide ribosomal RNA is filed under the name uncultured bacterium. RNAcentral's name for it is "partial 16S ribosomal RNA". It matches the Rfam family "Bacterial small subunit ribosomal RNA", at positions 28 to 507 of the family's 1533-position model. The record is from RNAcentral.
GAUGAACGCUGGCGGCGUGCCUAAUACAUGCAAGUCGAGCGAACAGACGAGGAGCUUGCUCCUCUGACGUUAGCGGCGGACGGGUGAGUAACACGUGGAUAACCUACCUAUAAGACUGGGAUAACUUCGGGAAACCGGAGAUAAUACCGGAUAAUAUAUUGUACCGCAUGGUUCAAUAGUGAAUGACGGUUUUGCUGUCACUUAUAGAUGGUUCCGCGCCGCAUUAGCUAGUUGGUAAGGUAACGGCUUACCAAGGCAACGAUGCGUAGCCGACCUGAGAGGGUGAUCGGCCACACUGGAACUGAGACACGGUCCAGACUCCUACGGGAGGCAGCAGUAGGGAAUCUUCCGCAAUGGGCGAAAGCCUGACGGAGCAACGCCGCGUGAGUGAUGAAGGUCUUCGGAUCGUAAAGCUCUGUUAUUAGGGAAGAACAAAUGUGUAAGUAACUAUGCACGUCUUGACGGUACCUAAUCAGAAAGCCACGGCUAACUACGUG